RNAcentral lists this ribosomal RNA (166 nucleotides) under Intsia bijuga. RNAcentral describes it as "5.8S ribosomal RNA". It matches the Rfam family "5.8S ribosomal RNA". From Rfam's summary of the family: 5.8S ribosomal RNA (5.8S rRNA) is a component of the large subunit of the eukaryotic ribosome. It is transcribed by RNA polymerase I as part of the 45S precursor that also contains 18S and 28S rRNA. Lineage: Eukaryota; Viridiplantae; Streptophyta; Magnoliopsida; Fabales; Fabaceae. The record is from RNAcentral.
AACGACUCUCGGCAACGGAUAUCUCGGCUCUCGCAUCGAUGAAGAACGUAGCGAAAUGCGAUACUUGGUGUGAAUUGCAGAAUCCCGUGAACCAUCGAGUCYUUGAACGCAAGUUGCGCCCGAAGCCAAUAGGCCGAGGGCACGUCUGGCUGGGUGUCACACAAAG